Small nucleolar RNA from Hydractinia symbiolongicarpus, 72 nucleotides. RefSeq annotates it as small nucleolar RNA SNORD24. The transcript has a single exon. NCBI's taxonomy places the organism in Eukaryota, Metazoa, Cnidaria, Hydrozoa, Anthoathecata, Hydractiniidae. The record is from RefSeq and is a predicted model, not a curated record.
UGUCAAUGAUGAUGAAUAUAUUUGCUACUCUUGACUGUUGGAUGACGAGUACCCACCAAGAUCUCUGAGACA